Molecule: non-coding RNA, 678 nt
Organism: Silurus meridionalis
Lineage: Eukaryota; Metazoa; Chordata; Actinopteri; Siluriformes; Siluridae
Source: the annotation of a RefSeq genome assembly
AUAUUCUGUUGAGGAAUGAAAUUCAAAAACUGUACAAAUACAGAGAAAUGACCCAAUUCUGGAUUUUAAUUUUGAUCUUCAGCACCAUGUAUACAGUAGAAUCUGGUAGACACUGGGUUUCUGCACAAUCCCUCACAAAGUCACCAGUUUAUCAGCCUGAUAAAGAGCUCAGUGUGGAUAUCGGAGACUCGGCUACUCUGCGCUGUUGUAUUUCUGAAACAGUAGCUAGUGUAAUAUUCUGGUUUAAGCAACUAAACAGACAAAAACUUCAGCUUAUGGUCACAGUUUAUAAAACAGCAGGAGAAACAUUUUACAAUGGAUUCCAUAAGUCACGUUUCAGAAUAAAAAGAUUUUCAAACUGCUUCAACACAACUAUUUUAAACACCAUUCAGUCUGAUGAAGCCAUGUACUACUGUGCCGUGAGAUAUCCUAACCUUGCGUUUGCAGAUGGGACGUAUUUAAAAAUUAAAGGUGAGAAUGUUUUCACCGAAUCAGAAACAUCUACACCUAAACCUGCUCUGUGUAAUAAUUCAGUGGUGCAUGAAGCAACACUGCAUGGAAACAGCACCAACAUCAGCUCACAAAAUAAAACAGUAUAGGAAUUGAUCAGAUCUCUACAUUGGACAGUGCUCGGUUUGGGAUCGGCUUUGGGUUUCUGCGCACUUCUGAUUAUCUUCC